UCAAGUCGAGCUUCUUCUUUCACUGUGUUCAGUCUCUGCCAUCAAUUGCUUUUCUCAUUCUUCCUGUUAGCUCUCGCCUCACUUUCAUAUCUAACUUUCCUCUUCCAUCAUGGUCUGCCUCAAACUCGCCAUGAAAGGAGUGAUUUGAAAUGUCGAUGGAUCUUCGCCGUUCAAGCUCAACGAAAAAGAGCUUUGAAGAUCUGUCAUGGGAUGAGCUAAUGGGCUAUAUAGUCAACGAUUCUCUUGAUGGGGAAGAAGAUAUACCCCGAGUCAACUUCUCUGGAGAGGUGAUGUCUCUGAAUCAGAAGAUUUCGUGGGCACCUCGUCCAAAGGAUUCUUUGCUUGGGUCUUCCAAUUUUUCCGACAUUGAGGUGGUGCAGAAAAAGCAAGUCCAGUCCUCUAAUUUAAAACGAAAAGGCAAUGAAGGACAGUGAACAAGUGAGCAGCGGCAACGACAAUGGCACAUCUAACCGGUGAAGAGAAAGAUAAAAGAGGAAGAUUGUCCACCCAUUCGAUCUAAACAAAUUUCCAUUUAUAGAGGAAGAUUAUGCACAUUUGACUGAGGAAGAGAAAGCCCGUGGACAUUCUCACACAUGGGAGGAGCAUUUAAGUUCAAAAAAAUGGUGUUGUUGUCCCCACUAUCUUCCUUAUUGGUUGGAGCAUUUAAAUCAAAGGAGAAGGAGCAAUUUUCCAUGGUAGAGAAGGAGCACUUUUCCAUGGUGGAAAAGUGCAGUUUUUGUGCCUUUCUUUUCUGUUAUUUUUAAUGUUGUCUGAUUCCCUUUUAGUGGGAUAUAAGUUUCUCAAAAUGUGAAACACUACUUCUAAUUUUUCAGUCCCGUGAGAAGGCUCAAUUUUUCAUUGUAAAAGUCUCAUUUUCACUAUAAAAGGCUCUAUUCCCGCCAAAAGUCUCAUACUAUUACUGUAAAAGUCUCAUGCUUGAUAAAGCAUGAGAGAAAAAUUUUGAAAAUAAUAAUUUAUUCAUU
Prosopis cineraria is the source of this 983-nucleotide long non-coding RNA. RefSeq lists it as uncharacterized. The transcript is spliced from 2 exons. NCBI's taxonomy places the organism in Eukaryota, Viridiplantae, Streptophyta, Magnoliopsida, Fabales, Fabaceae. The record is from RefSeq and is a predicted model, not a curated record.